GGGUCACUCCCGGAGCCACGCCUGUCCGAGGGUCGGCAAACUGUCAUCGCCUUCCGCUCUUCUGCCUUCGGCUCGUGAAGGAGAGCGGGAUGCGCAUUGGGCGCGUCGCGGGGAGACUUCGGUUUUCCCCCCGUCCGCCAAGAGAUGCAGCCAGGGGCAUGUACCCUACCUGCGGCACUCUGGUUCCGCGAGCGCGGCGCGGACUGGAGACGACCUCUGGGUGGUCCUCCCGUCUUCCGAGAGGGAGACGGCGGGGAGCUCCGCUCACGGGGGCGGGACCGAGGAGGAGACGUUGCGCGGAUCGUCGCUCGCACUCCUUGGUCCGACAAACGCCCCCAUUUGACCGAGCAGUCUCCGCUAGUCGGAGGACCACGGAAACCGGAGGCCUGUCGCGGAAGGUAGCCCGCACGGAAACGAAAGGAGCCACUCGUGGCGCCGUUCGCUCUCCGACCUCGGAUCAGACGAGACUACCCGCUGAACUUAAGCAUAUCAGUAAGCGGAGGAAAAGAAACUAACAAGGAUUCCCCUAGUAACGGCGAGUGAAGCGGGAAGAGCCCAGCACCGAAUCCCCCGGCUUAGGGUCGGCGGGAAAUGUGGUGUAUAGGAAGCCGAUUGGGGCGGCGACGAGCGUCCAAGUCCUCCUGAUCGUGGCCUUGCCCAGAGAGGGUGUCAGGCCCGUGAGGCGCGCCAGUCGACCGUCUCUUCGAGCUUCUUUGGAGUCGGGUUGUUUGGGAAUGCAGCCCAAAGGUGGGUGGUAAACUCCAUCUA
Molecule: ribosomal RNA, 768 nt
Filed under: Tellinella virgata
Lineage: Eukaryota; Metazoa; Mollusca; Bivalvia; Cardiida; Tellinidae
Description: eukaryotic LSU rRNA
Rfam family: Eukaryotic large subunit ribosomal RNA (bases 448-768)
Source: RNAcentral